ACUUAUUAAAUGUUACUCUCUCGACCAUACAGAAGCUGUGUAAUUCUGUUUGUUUCUGACUCAUAAUAUAACUUGAAACAUGGUGGCAGCGGUAAAAAGUUACAUAUUUUCGUAGAACAGUUAUUAUUCUUCUCCCUGAAGUCUAUUAUGUAUCUGCAAACUGUGAUUUGGCCUGGAUUUCGCCAGCUUUCUGAGAGUAAUUCCUGCAUGUGUCCCACAUAUCAGGCACAAACUUCUAUCCAAGAGAGCAAAGUCCUGAAAUCAAGGGUUUAUCUGGAAGUCCUCAGAAGUCACCUAACAUGAAGCAAGCAAUAUGGACAAGGUUAGGAAGAAGUCAUUGUCGUGCUGGAGGGAUUCCAUGACAUUUGCUCCAGCAACAAUCGCUCUUGUUUUAAAUUCUACACACUAAACAAAUGACUAACUUCAACCCUGGGUUUAACGCUAUACCCUACCCUAAACCUAACAUAGGACCCUAUUGCAAACCUAACCCUAACCCUACAUCUUACAUAAAACGAAGUCCGGAGCAACUGUUGCAGGAGCAAAUGUCUUGUCACCACUGGAAGAUGGACUCGACAAACUCGGUCAAAGGUCAAGAAAAUUAUCAGAAAUAUGCUGUGAGAUCCAGUGCUUUACCUCAUAGCUGAGAGGAGGCUUACACAGCUGAUAGAUGACAGUGCUAUGUAAAUCAUGUCACUCGGUGUACAACAUGGAUGCACCCCCUAUCUGGGAAAGUCUACCAGAGCUAAAGAUGUGACACCAAUCUUGACAUCUUCAUCUGCACUGACUGUCUGGUGCGAUCGUUUGUUGGUACAUACAUGGACAUGAUGUAUAAUCCACCUGUAUAGAAAGACCAAAUGUUAUAUCCUUUGAAACAUACAACAAAGGAACCUGUUUUGUAAAUACCUCUUUUUCUUAUCUCUGAGAGAGACGACUACCAGGGACUGGUACUUUGACACCAGACAUUAUACAUGCUCUGUUUUUGGUGCUCCACUUAAUAUGUACUUAAUAUGGAAAUUUCCACCAUGUAAAUCAAAUUGAACGAACCAAAUGCUGAUUUAAAAGACUAUCUGCAUUCGCUACUUAUGAACCAGGAUGGGAAAUGGUUUUUGUCUCACCUGCAUAGCAGAGUGAGACUAUAGGCACCCGCCGCUUUUCCGACGGCGGCGGCGUCGGCGUCAACACCAAAUCUUAACCUAAGGUUAAGUUUUUGAAAUGUCAUCAUAACUUAGAAAAUAUAUGGACCUAGUUCAUGAAACUUGGACAUAAGGUUUAUCGAGUAUUACUGAACAUCCUGCUUGAGUUUCAUGUCACAUGACUAAGGUCAAAGGUCAUUUAGGGUCAAUGAACUUUGGCCAUUUUAGAGGUAAUUAUUAGAUUGCUGUCAUAACUUUCAAAGUUUAUAGAUAUAGUGUAUAAAGUGUGGAUAUAGGGGUAAUCAAGUUUCACUGACAAGUUUUAGAUCACAUGAUCAAGGUCAAAUGUCAAUGAACUUAGUAUUGUAUCAUAUGAAUGGUGUUUUUUGUGAAUAAUUAUUUGAUAGUAGUUUUCAAAGUCAGCACUGCUGCUAUAUUGAAUUGCGUGAUGCAGGUGAGACCGCCAGAGGCAUUCCACUUGUUAUUUUUUAGGGGCUAUUUUUGUCCACAAUGGGGGUGAUUGCUGACUUUUUGGGGCUAUUUCUUUCAUAUUAAGAGCUACAUUUUUUGCAACAAGCACUUAUGCUGCAAAAGCAUUUCUCAUCAUUCUGCUGUAUGUAGAAAAUUUAUUUUUAGACAAUAUUAGCGCCCCAAAGUGUUCAAUUUUGUGAAUUUUCCAACACUGUCAUGAACCCAUUUUUAGGUAUUUUAUGAUGACUUUUGUGUAUCUCAAAGAAGCAGGUCCAAGCUAUUAUCUCUGAACAGUGAUUUUCAGUUUAAAUUAAAAAAAAAGACCUUUUCUCUUUCUUAAAACCUUUUAUUCUGUUUCAAACUUGAUCGAGAAUGAAAUUCUGUUUUUGAGAAAACGUACACAUAAAAAGCACGAAUUCCAUUUUGCAGUGAGUUUUCUCCCUAAAAGUAUAGAACCAAAACAGAUUUUUCGUUUUGAUUUACUGGUAAACAGAAAAUCACUGUCCCUAAUUAUUUGCUGACUUUCCAAAUUAUCUGAAUUAUCUGUUGUUUGAUUAAUGGAUGCAUAGAAUGUAGAACAUGAUUACUAGGAGAAAAUAUGUGCACAAGGUUACAAAUGAUAUCCAAGUAUCAUGAGGUUUAUAAUAAAUAUGGUGUGGUAAUUAGGGCUUGUAGGUUUUUGUGGAGUUAACUCGGUUUACAUGAAGUUAGUAAUUGUAUUUAUUUUGUGUUUACUAUUCCGCAAAAGUGGACCCAAAGGUUUUCCAGAGUUUUCCUCGAAUGAAUUUUAUCUCUGGUUUUUUACCCUGGAUCUACUUGUCGUAGAAUAAUUGUUUAAAGGGGAACGUAAAGGCUUGUUUACUUUAUGCACACAAUAAUAAUACUGUACUGGAUUAAUGAAAUCAAAAAUUGGAAAGCGCGAAUUUAACCCAUCCCAGGGUCAUCAUUUAUUUGAGUUGCCGAAGUUCUCUUCAAUCUUUCGCCCUAGACUCUUAACUUGCUUCUGGAUGGCUCUGCGCCAAUUAUGUGAUACCCCUUAACCCUAUUAGGACUGGGAGGGGGCCAUGAUGGCCCCCCUCGACGCUUUGCACAAUAUUUCCGAAACGCAAAAGGUAGCUCCGCAAAAUUUUAUGACUUUUUUCUUUCAAGCCUCGCAAAACUUUUGAGACCAAAUUUGCGACCUACGGGUAUAGCAUCGGGACGCUACGUGACUUUUUACGAGACAAUGUCAUGCCGAAAAUGGAUCAUUUUUAUACUUUCUGUACAAAGUCUGUGGGAGAUGAAAUUCAUAAAAGUGAUUAUUUUUCAUUCUAAUUGGUCUGCCUAAUUAAUAUAGAGUUUAACUUAGUUGUUAAGUGGUCUGUAAUAAUUUCCAUUGAAAAAAAAAAAGAAAAACAAAAGAUGAAAAAACAAAGAAAUACAUAAAUUCUAAAAACAAAGAAAUACAUGAGGAAAAAAUUGGCUUUCGCAAUUUUUCUUUGUGGAAACCUUUAAAUUAGUUUACAAAUAUGACAUCUGGAAAAAAAAAUAAAAUUUGAAGUGAAAUUUGGUGUUAAAUAUGCAAAUACUGGUUUACACGAAUAAAUUUGCAUAUAUUAUUCAUAAUGAAUAAAAAAUUAUUUUCAGAAUUCUUUUUUUUAUACUGGCUUGUAGUUUAUGCGGUAAAGAAUGCGCAAACGGCGGCCGAGAUCAGAAGGGGGGCCAUCAAGCCUAUCAUGCCCCCCCCCCCAGUCCUCAUUAUGUCUCAAAUAGCCCAGUCCUUUUCUCUGAUUUUAUUUGUAAUUGCUUUUUCAUGUGACCAGCCACCCACAAAGCAACAAUAAGUUGCCAGGGAAGCUUCUCUGUAAAUAGCCAAAAUAGCAAAUUUGAUCCUCAAAAUGAAAAAAGAAAUACGGUAUCUUCUUCUUCAUACUGUCAGAAUUUUAGAUUAGAAAAGUUAAAUAGAAAAAAAAAUAGAUACAAGAGUUUCUUUGACAUUAGUUUUUUGCAGGCUGCUUGAAAGUUCACUUGCGUCCACCUUGAACACAAAGAUCCCCCCCCCCCCCCCAUUUGAAUUUGUGCGUAAUGCAGCACAAUAGCUUGAUAUACACUUAUUUUCCAUGAAUAUCAUUACUAUGUUCUGUCCAGUUUCAUAAUUUAUUAUGAUACAAAAAGAGUUUAUGAUAAUUUUUUUUAUUUCAUAUUCUAAAUAAGAGAUUAAGGCUAUUUCAGAUGCAGGAAUAGCAGUUUGUUCUAAGCUAAUUCAGUCUAUUUUUUUAUAUUAAUUUCACAAAAUAUUUUUUGUAUCAUCUGCAUAGAUAAUGAAAUGUGAUAUUUCAAAGGAUUCAACUUUGUCAUUAAAGGAGAAUGAAACCCUUGAAAUUAGCUGAAUCCAUAUCAAAGAGAAAAAUCAAAGAAACAUAUUGUUGAAAGUUUGAGGAAGAUUGAAUGAAUAAUAAGAAAGUUAUGAGCAUUUGAAUAUUGAGAUCACUAGUGCCAUGUAGAUCCUCCCAUCGGCAAUGCGACCAAGAUCUGUGAUAUCACACACGUACAACUCCCUCAUUACUUUAGUACUUAUUUCACUUAUAUUCUCACUUUUAUAGAGUCUAUCACAAGGUGAGGUGUUCUCUUUAUGAGAUGACAAGUACAGAUGUUUCACAACAUUAUAUCAUUGAUGAAUCGUUUGUCAUAUGAUUAGAAUGAGCAAAAAGAGAUGUUUUGGGGUAUAUUUUCAGUGUCCAAAUGGGAGAGUUGUACGUGUGUGACAUCACAGAUCUUGGUCGCAUUGCCAAUGGGAGGAUCUCCAUAGCAUUAGUGAUCUCGACAUUCAAAUGCUCAUAACUCUUUUAUUGCUAGUCCUAUUUUACUCAAAGUUUUGUUGAUCUUAUUCUUUGAUUUUUCUGCUUUCACAAAAGCUAACUUGCUCCAAGAGUUUCAUUCUCCUUUAACACAACAAACACCCAAGUACACUUCAUUGCAGGAUAACUCAUGUUUCGGAGAGAAUGUUUUUGGACAAAGUAUCAGAUCAAUAGUUAUUGAAAGAAGUUAACUAAAUUGGUCCUGAGAUGAAAAAGGUCACAAGUCAAAAGUCGCAGAGGUCAUUUUGUACCCCCACAAUAUCCUUUUUUCAUGAAAAAAUAAAUAACUGUGUGAAGAUUCAACUUCAAACUUACCUCUUGCGUAUGGGUAUGACAAAGCUCAUGAAUCCAUCUAUUUUAUAUCAAUUUUUGUUUCAUUAGUCCCAGUAAUAUAUAGUGCUAGACUGCUAGUGAUAUGUUUUUCUUUUUGUUUCAUAAUAUCCAGAGUAUAUAGUCAUGGUGUUAGAUUUUUGAAAAGUUUUAUAAAUCUAGCAAAAUGAUUCUUCGAAAUUGUUUCACGAAUAGACUGAAAGUCCUGCCUAAUUGUUAAUGUGCAUAUGAUAUUUCAUGUGCAGUCUCAUUGAUUCAUACACAGUAGAGUGCAUCUACUGAGGGUGAUCCAAUCAAUAUGGUGAUCUGUUUCUUUCCACAUGCAAGUGGAAAUUAAGAGCAAUUUUUUAGUCACACUCAAAUCUUUGUGAAACACUCCUUUGAUUUGUCUCUUAUGUCACAUAUAAUGCCAGAUAGCUUGGACCUGCCCAAUAAUGUUUGUUUGUCUGUACUAUAUACUUGUUUUGUAUUCAUGAUUUUAUACGUAUAUGUAUAUGUAAGACCAGCAGCCUGGAAGAUUUAUUCAAGUUGCAGGACCAUAGCAGUUGACCUCGAUUGAUGGUGGUAGGCCCUAAACCUUACAAACAUGGCUUCCCGUCUGGUUUGAGCUGGGAUCUUCCUGCCAGAAUCACACAAUUAGUGACGUCACUACCGAGAGAUCUAUUUUUCAGUAUGCAGAGAAGGGCACUGGACACUGUUGUGCAUGGUAUACAACUUACCACAAUGUAAGUGCGUUAAUAAUGAUUUCAAUGAUAUUUUGUGUAGCCUAGAGUAUGCAAGACAAUGCAAUCGGUUUUCCAGUAAUUAUGUACUGAGGGCAAUAACUUUUGUGAAAAUAUUGGGUGGCAAUUUUCCCCAUAUCAGGAUUUUCUCUCUCUUUUCUUUUAAUGACUGCAAUCCCUUCUCUUGACCUUUACUGUUAUUUCUUCCCAUUUCUGUAUCCUAUUGUUGGGUAUAGUCUUUGUUUCACAUUGUUGCAACAUGAUAUUUGCCAUGACUGAGUUAAUAAUUUGAUAAAAAGAUAAACAAUUUUUAUAAGAAAUUUUAUAUAUGUAUUUAUAUAUGCAGACUUUGAUCAUGUUAUUUUUUUUAAAGCAGAGCAAUGAUAGAGCAAUGUAAAAUAUGUUGCAAAAUAUUUAUUCUCCUUUUCUGUAUGUGUUAUUUUUGGGGUCAGACUAAAUUUGAAUUACUAUUUUCAAACUUUAUCACGGUCAUUUCACCAUUUACCUUCAUGAACCUCAUGUUUGUGCUAAAGCCGAUGGCAGCACCAGAAACAUAAGGGUUGUGCGAGUGCCGAGUGUGUAUCCAUCAUGUAAUCACAGAAUGAGAAGAGGUAAAGUGGACUGCACGAAUGUUAAGAUAUGUGAUGAUAAGGUAGAUUCUCAAUAUAGGUUUGUUUGCCCAAAUCUUCAACUUCGGAUAUGAAUUUUUCACCCAUCUUUAUGAGGAUAAUGCACCUGAAUGGUUUUUCCACGGUGUGUGAAAAAAAGAUCUCCUUCAAUCAAAGCAAUAUAUGUAAGUCUGGAAUCUUGUUUUAGAAGUGCAAUGUCAAAUUUUGAUUUCUAUAGCCUUGCCAGUAUAGUGUUUCAAGUUGACCCAUAUUGAUAUUUGAAAUAUUGAUGGGGCGGUUUAGCCAAUAUGGCUUUGGAGCUCGGUGACAUUUGUCAAGAUCGAUCAAAAACUGGUUUGCACUCCAAAUUGACGCAGGUAACCAUUUAUUCUGCACAAAGAGAAGACAGAGGAACUGGCAACGUAUGUUUGAAGAGAGGGAUACUGACUUCCGGAAAUUUGUUUAAGUUGCAUGUGACAUCUUUAUAUUUGGUCUUUGGAAUCUGGUAAUGUUGCGAUAAUCUUCAAUCACUGUCUAACCACAAGGAAUGGUGCUCCUUUCAGCUUUAAUAUGCAAGAUAUCCUUGAUAUGCAUGGUAUCCUGGCCAAUCCUCUUCAAAACCUCAUACAAGUCACAUACUUCUUGGAUUCACAGAUGCUGAUAUGAGUGUGGGCCUCUUUGUGGUUGCAUUACAGGUUGCACUGGCCUAAUCACAACUGGCAGGCAAAAGAUAUUCAUUCGACCCAACCCAUUGCUCAAUUGUUAAAUUUGAUAUUGCUGAUUGACAAAAAUGAAUGAAUAUGACUGACAAUCUAACACUGAUUCUAGGGAGGGUACCUACUGAUCUUACUUUUUCCAAUUUGGAAAGAUAUAUCACCACUAUGGAACUAUAUUUUUACUGGCGGAAGAAUUAGGGUCAUUUUACUCUCUCAAGUGAUGAAUUUGAUCUCGUCAGGUGUAGUCUUAAUAAAUGCAGAUUUAUUUUUAAAAUGAGCUGGUCAAGGUACCCUAUUCUGGUUUGAUAUGGAAUGUCAGACAUUUAUCCUAUCCACUGGUAGUAAACAUUCAACCCUCAAAUUUCCUCCUUAUUUUUUAUGAAUUCCUUUUAAGUGCCACUUUAAGUGCCACGUGGAAGCGUUGUGGUGUAGCGGUUCUGACUCUCGCCUUGUAAUCAGAGGGUCGUGUGUUCGAAUCCCGCCAUGGCCUAGUGUCCUUUGGCAAGGCGUUAAUCCACAAUUUGCCACUCUCCACCCAGGUGUUAAAUGGGUACCCGGGAGGAUGCGAAAGCCUAUGUAGUAUGCCUAGCAAUUGAGUCUUGGAACUCUUGUUGGAAUGCUCCCCAGGGAGUGGAGAAGGUGCAUACAUUGUAUGCGGGCAUGCAAGGAUCCGAUGACCGGGGUACCCGGGGGGGCCACUUACAUUGACGAGUGGAUACCACGCGCGACCAAGAAAACACGUAAAAAGGAUGUCUUUUUCAUGAUAGGGCACGUUACGUACGUAACGUGAUAAGGGUGUCAAAAACACAAAAAUAAUAAAAAAGGGUAUCUAUUUCGCUAGAAAAGCUACGUGUUUAGGGUCACAUUUGCGGGGAUGAUAAAACAAAAUUAAAAUGUUGUAUAAAGGAUGUCCUUUUUGCCCCAACACUACGUGUUUACAGUCCCGAUUUGCGCGAGGUGAGGAAGAUGGGACCUUACUAACCCAAAUGGUGUGUAAAUUAGGUAAAACCGACGACCGACGGACCCGUGACACAACAAUAAAAUACUUGUUUAGGGGUUCAUUUCAGGGAAUACUUGCCAAGAGUAUAGUUUCGUUUCCAAUACUUGUUAAGGGUAGGAUUUCAGACGCCAAUACUUGUUAAGGGGUGCAUUUUCAGAACAUGGAAAAUACGUGUUUAGGGUGCUUUUCGAGACCCCGUGGUCGCGCAUGGUAUCCACUCGUCAAUGGAAGUGGCCCCCCCGGGCCGGGGUAAUAAUAAUUAUAUCUGUAAAGCGCUUAGAGACGUCGUUUCGAUGUGUUAAGUGCUAUAUAAAUGCGGAAUAUUAUUAUUAUUAUUAUUUAACACACGAGUCUAUGGGAAAUGAAUUAGGCCUGUGAGCCCUAGAGGAAUUCUCAGUGGAUCUAGUUCCAGGUGGAUUUGUGUCUUUUCUAGCCAUUUGUUGAUAUUUUCCUGUGUUUAUGAGAUUUUCCCAGAUUUAUUUGCCUCUGAUGAAAUGAAAGGCAAUGUGAAGUCUUGGUAUUAUAGAGUCAGAGUCAAUAAAGACAAUUUUUUGCUCCUCAUGCAUGUCUAUAUUGUCACCAAAAGGGAAGCUUCAUACAUCUGAUACAUUUUCUGGCUCAGUCUGUAACUUUAUUAUUAAACCACAAUGCACUUGUUUGAAUUCUGAUAAGGCAGAUAAGGCAAACAUUCUUUAUCUGGAAAGAUUUUGAAUAGAUAUCCUGUGUAAAGGAAACUUAUUCAUGUUCAGGUAUUCAGAAAUGUAAUCCCUUAACCCUAAUUCUCCCGGGGGGGGGGGGGGGGCCAUAAUGCCCCCCCCCCCUCGACAAUUUUCGCGAUAUAUCUGCUGCGCAAAAUUUUUUGACCUCGCCGCUCACUGACUUUUUACUUUCAAGUCUCGCGCAAAUUUUGAGACCAAAUUUGUGACGCUCGGGUACGCGGUUACGACAUUACGCAACAUUAUGUAAGUGCAUGUCAGACCCAAAAUUGCUCAUAAACGUGAUUUCAUGUACAAAUCCAAUGCAAAUUGUGUAUUUAGCCAAAAUUCAUAAAUGUAUCAUUAUUUCUACGUUUACUGAUUAAACUUAAUUAAUUUUGCCUUGUUUAUGAUCAGAAUUAAGUCUGGAACGAUUUCCAUCGAAAAAACAAUAAAAAAACGAAAAGUAAAAAAACAAAGAAAUACAUAAGAAAUUAAAAAAACAAUAAAAUACAUAAGAAAUCGGUCUUGGUACCAGAAUAUUUUUCAUUCACAAUUGUUAGGAAUGCUAUAAAGAAUAUUUUCACCAAAAAUAGCAUUCUAGGAGCUUUAUUUAGUGAAUCAGAGCAAAAAGUAUGAUUUCAUGAAUAAAUUAACAUAAUUAAUUCAUAUAAAAUAAAAAUAUAUGAAUUUAGUGAAAUUUACCAAUGCAACUGCGUAGAUUACGUCAUUCUCUACCAUCAUGCAAAUUUUCGUUGUGAUUGCGCAAUUCGCGGCUGAGAUCUUAAGGGGGGGGGCCAUAAUGGCCCUCUAACCCCCCCCCCCCUCCCCCCGGGAAUGACAAGAAUCAAAAUACCCAGGGAGAUUUAGGGUUAAAGUGAGGGGAAGUUACAGUGUACUGUGUUUAACCCUAUAUAGCCAGGGCUAUUUUGAAAUUGCAUAGCCAGGGGCUUAAGGCUUUUUAGCCACCCCUCCCCCCCCCCCCCCAGAUCUUGGUCGUUGAUUAGGGCCGGUAUUCAAUUUGAUACUUAGGCCAGAAUUUUAAGUACUAGUAUUUAACUCAGUAUUUUGCCAAAAAAAAAAAAAAAACAUCCAUCUUUGGUAUUCAAUUGUAUUUGGCUUAAAUAUAAGUCAGCCACAUUCCAAAGUCUGGCUAGCAUAUACCGUAGUUUACAAACGUGAUAUGCGCAGUCAUACAUUCUGCGCUCAGAUGAUAACAUACAUUGUGCGUUAUUUGGCUCAAACUUUAUCAUGAUGUCAAAAUGGUUGUUACUUGUUAGUAUUUUGCUUAAAUAUGGCUGAAUGAAGUAAAAUACUUGGAUGUGAUCUAAAUAUGAGUUUUUUUUUUAAGCAUGUACCUGCUUAUCAUCAUUGCCAGUUAUUUUGGGAGAAGGACCUCCACUCAAUUAUUCUGAAUUUCAAUAUCCUUUGAUCUUGUGCCAUCUAAAACUCUUUCAUGGGAACUUGCGAGUCUUUCAUUUUCUUUGCAAUGAUCAUACAAUGCAUAAUUUGCAGACCAUCAUAGAAUUAUUUCCUUCUGUCAGAAAAAUUUAUCAGCCAGGUCCUGAAGCUUGACAUGAAGUGAUGCUAGGCUGUUCAUUCAUCCACCUUUCAGUCUGAGGGUAGGGCAGUAAUUGGUAUAUUUUCCAACACUGUCCCUGUGGCUAAAACACAUGGUUUCCUAUAUCCAGCAUGGAACAAGUUUGGGAAAUUUUGUUGGGUGCUGUCUGUUAGAUUUGACAUUGCAUGUUUUGGAAGACUGUUCCAACUCUCUGUGACCCUUUGGCUAAAGAAGUGGUUUCCUCCAUCCAGUCUGGAACAACUUUGGGCAAUUUUAUUGGGUGCUGUCUGUGAGAGUUGUCAUUGGUUCUUGAUGACCAUUUGGCUGAAUAUAUCCAUGGAAAGAUUUUUUCAAAAUAAUUUAUUGGACGUCUUCUUUGAAAUUUGACAUUUUGCUUCACUACUAGGGUUCAUGCAUUGUAUUGUAAUGAUUGAUGGGGGAUUAUAGACCAUUGUGGGAUAUGAAGUGUACUCCCUCAGGACAAGCCUAUGUUGAGGUCCUAACCCAUUAGAUCUAUCUUUCAUUGUCGGUGCCUCGCCUGAUCUCUCAGAGUUCAUGGUUGCACGAUGGAUACAGUAGGCAAGCAAACAUUUGGUUCAUGUAUGAUGGUGAAUUAAUAAAUUAGCUUGACAGGGAUUGGUUUCUAUUUUGAUCAAAAUGCAGUUUUCAUUGAAAUUCAUAGAAACGCUAUUGCAUCAUGUACGGAAAAGGGUAUAUUUAAUUUGCAAUAUAUUUUUACUAUGUUUCAUUUGCUCUUUUGAAAAAAAAAGCCCCCCACCCAGAAAAAAAAAAAAAAAAAAAAGCACACAAAAAAUAGCCAAUGAUUUUUUUUAAUGUGAUGUAUAAAUUGACUUGUUUAAUAAAAAUAUGAAAAUGAUUAGUGAUAAUACUAAAAAAAUAUUAAAUUGAAAAUUAGAACUCUGUAGGGUCAGUCAUGGAUAGUUAAUGUUGAAAGGAUGUGAAAUGAUUGAAAAUGGGCAGAUACAGGGAGUUAGUGAUUAUCACUGAUUUGCUCUAAGCCAAUCAGAUGCAAGGAUUUGUCGGUGAAAAUCACUGACAAAAAUCUUCAUGAAAUGCUUCCCUGGAUGGAUAGUACAGGGAGGUAUACGAAUAGAGCACAAUCAGUGGAUUAAAUGCUAUUUGUAUUGAAUGGGGGAGGGGGUGGUGGUUUUGUUCCAGGGCGAAUGAAAAGACUACAAAGGAGAUUAAAAGACAGAAUCUUAUGGCAAGGAAGGGGAGUAGUUUGGAAAGAUUGAGGGGGGGUUAAAAGAAAUUGCUUCUUGAGGCAAAUUUCAGAUGAAUAUGAAUUAAGUUCCCCCCCCAAAAAAAAAGUAGUAACUGUUGCCCCCAGGAACACAAUCACUUGGAAAGUUGAUCGAUUGUCUUGCAUACUAUUGGCUACAUGAAAUAUCAUUUAAAUCAUUAACAAAGCCCUUUCAUUGUGGCAAGUUGUAUACCAUGCACAACAGUAUCCAGUUGCCCUUCUCUGUGCACUGAAAGAUAGGUCUCUCAGUGGUGAUGUCACAUAUUGUGUGAUUUUGUCAGGAAGACCCCAGCUCGGACAAGGCUGCUGGUCAUUUUGUGAGGGGGUAGGGUUUGCCCCAUUGAAUUCAGAGGUCCGCUGCUAUGGUAUCCUGUAUACUUGAAUGAAUCUUCUUGGCUGCUGGUCAUUUUUUUUUGUUCACUUUCUUUGUAAAAAUGAAUUAAAAAUCUUAUAAAUUAAAACUUA
Long non-coding RNA from Lytechinus pictus (painted urchin), 11802 nucleotides. RefSeq lists it as uncharacterized. Lineage: Eukaryota; Metazoa; Echinodermata; Echinoidea; Temnopleuroida; Toxopneustidae. The record is from RefSeq and is a predicted model, not a curated record. The transcript is spliced from 4 exons.